Molecule: ribosomal RNA, 497 nt
Filed under: uncultured bacterium
Lineage: Bacteria
Description: partial 16S ribosomal RNA
Rfam family: Bacterial small subunit ribosomal RNA
Source: RNAcentral
GAUGAACGCUGGCGGCGUGCUUAAUACAUGCAAGUCGAGCGAACGGACGAGGAGCUUGCUCCUCUGACGUUAGCGGCGGACGGGUGAGUAACACGUGGAUAACCUACCUAUAAGACUGGGAUAACUUCGGGAAACCGGAGCUAAUACCGGAUAAUAUAUUGAACCGCAUGGUUCAAUAGUGAAAGACGGUUUUGCUGUCACUUAUAGAUGGAUCCGCGCCGCAUUAGCUAGUUGGUAAGGUAACGGCUUACCAAGGCAACGAUGCGUAGCCGACCUGAGAGGGUGAUCGGCCACACUGGAACUGAGACACGGUCCAGACUCCUACGGGAGGCAGCAGUAGGGAAUCUUCCGCAAUGGGCGAAAGCCUGACGGAGCAACGCCGCGUGAGUGAUGAAGGUCUUCGGAUCGUAAAACUCUGUUAUUAGGGAAGAACAAAUGUGUAAGUAACUAUGCACGUCUUGACGGUACCUAAUCAGAAAGCCACGGCUAACUACGUG